UUGCCUGGCUCCUGGCCUUCACUUCCCUGCACCUGCUGCUGCUGCGGCCCUGGGACGCCCACGUGGGUGCGUGGGCAUGGGCGGGGUGUGGGUGCUCGCCGCGCUCCUGCCCACAUUUUCCCCAUCACAGCGCUGAGAGAAGGUGGAGGUCUCCUGCCAAUACGUUGGGAUGAGGGAUAAUGAGAUGACCCCCAAAUCCAGAGGGGAUUCCUGAGAUCCGAACGCAACCUUCAAGACUCCAGCUACCAAGCUGUUGUUGGUUCCUCGAUCUCCAGGAAGCUGCAACUCCUUAAUGGUGGGGUAAAGUGAGCAAGUGGAGCAGGUGUCCAUCCAUUUGAGGAAAGGCUGGCAGAUGUGGAAGGGAGGGAACGGAGAAAGACAGCGAGCUAGAGAGAGAGCUUGAGAGCGGGAGUCAAGGAGGGGGCGGAGGAAGGGAGAGAUAACGAUGAUGAUGCUGAUGAUGGUGAUGGUGAUGGUGAUGAUGAUGAGCGGGGGAGACGGUGCGCGCCCUUAGAGUGCCAACUCCACCUGAACCCGAGGCCUGGGAGGGGAGCUACAAGCUCAAGAAAAGGGAAAGGGGCAAGAGGAUGGAUGGAAAGCGGAUAAUAAAAUGGAGAUAUGAAAAAUCCCAAGAACAGAGGUCAGGAUACGAGUACUGGGUUCAUAUCUGAAUGAAGAUCAGAAGAGAAUACGUUAAAAUUAUUUUAAUUUACAACGGGAAAGUAUAGCAGAGUUCUUUUGAGCCAAAGAAUACAAGAGGAUGCUUUUGAGUAAUGUCUUUUAUUGAGUUCAAUUCUGGAUAAUCUCUGCUUCCCUCAGAAUUCUUGAUUGGCCUACAGUUAACCAAAGGCACACAACUCAGGACUUGUAACUGCAUACAUAUGGAGAGAGGUGCUUGGAGAGAAAAUCUGCUCUUCUGCAAUAUUGAAUACAAAAUUAAAGUCUGUCACAGCAAGCAUAACUUGGAGAAAAGAAAUGCAAGAUGAAAUAUAGCUUUUAAAAUCAUUACUAAAAUACAAUGUGUGCAUUUUGCUUAGUCAAUAAAAAUGCACCAUUGUUAUACCUUGAAUUCUGAUUUACUUUAAUAAGCUACUGAGAUAUCUUGAAAAUAGACAUUAUGUGAAACACUCAAACUUAUUCAGCUUUUGUAUUGUUAAUAAAAUGAUUUAAUGAUUAUUAUUUCUAUGUUCUAUAUUUUAGAACUACCUGAAAGCCUAAAAUUUAUCAAUUCCUCCUAAAAUUAUCAUUCUUAAUAAAAUUCAGCAUCAGUUUUA
This is a long non-coding RNA of Ictidomys tridecemlineatus (thirteen-lined ground squirrel), 1274 nucleotides long. RefSeq lists it as uncharacterized. Lineage: Eukaryota; Metazoa; Chordata; Mammalia; Rodentia; Sciuridae. The record is from RefSeq and is a predicted model, not a curated record.